GCAAAUCUUCUUUUUUCUCUUUUUUUUCCCCCAGUGCUGGGGAUGGAACCCAGGACCUUACACAGGCUAAGGAAGCCUCUACUUCUGAUCACCCACAGGCCAAAACUUCACCUGUCAAUACAAGCUGUUGUCUGGAGGGUGCUGUCCUUCUACUCUUUAGGGAGAAGACAUUGGAGACUGUUCAGUCCUCUUGCUUCCCAUGUCUGGAAUCCAUGUCUUUGGGAGACAGGCAGAGACUGUCUAACAGCUAGACAUACUGGAGUUCUCCAAGUCCAGCUGCUUUCUUCCUCACUGCCCUGAUCAUGCUGUUCAGCAGUCGUCAAACAGGAAUCACUAUUACCUGUCACAUUCAUGGUUUAGUUAUGUCAGGAUAGCUGAUGUUUCUAGUGAUGACCCAAGAAACUAGAAGAUAAAACCAUGUGGAGUGUUAGAUUCAUACCAUUGUAUUCCAAGUCUGGAAAACUGGCUGCUCUUGGGAGCUACCAAUAUUCCCAAUUGAACCUCACUUCAGUCUUACUCUAUGGGGCUGGUUUGGAAGGUAUUUUUGAGAUUCCUCACACCUGCUUUUCUGCUCUGUCCCCGCUCCUUAAUUUUCCUCAUGGGAACUCCUAGUGCCUCUUCUUUGAGGCAGGAAAUGCUUUGUUCUUCCAUGUUGCAAAUCCUUCUUGAAACUCUUAGAAAACUAUUUUUUUAUUAGUUAAUGAGGCAGUGAGGGUCAGAGUGACAGUAGCCCUUGGACUGCAGUGUAUGCAUUUUAGAACUACAUCUGGGUUUUAAGACUCGCAGGCACUGGUAGGGCCAUAUUUCUCUUUCCUGCUUUUC
RNAcentral lists this long non-coding RNA (822 nucleotides) under Ictidomys tridecemlineatus (thirteen-lined ground squirrel). RNAcentral describes it as "lncRNA (ENSSTOG00000030398.1)". Lineage: Eukaryota; Metazoa; Chordata; Mammalia; Rodentia; Sciuridae. The record is from RNAcentral.